This 76-nucleotide transfer RNA is filed under the name Alcanivoracaceae bacterium. RNAcentral describes it as "tRNA-Thr". Lineage: Bacteria; Pseudomonadati; Pseudomonadota; Gammaproteobacteria; Oceanospirillales; Alcanivoracaceae. The record is from RNAcentral.
GCCGGCAUAGCUCAGAUGGUAGAGCAACUGACUUGUAAUCAGUAGGUCCSSRGUUCGACUCCGCGUGCCGGCACCA